Molecule: long non-coding RNA, 374 nt
Filed under: Homo sapiens (human)
Lineage: Eukaryota; Metazoa; Chordata; Mammalia; Primates; Hominidae
Description: novel transcript
Source: RNAcentral
GUGACUCUGUCUCAAAAGAAAAAGUGUAGGGUACUGAAGAAAUUGAAACAUUAAGAAUACCAUAUGAGUAAAUUAAACACUUUGGCUCUUUUCGGAAAAAAACAGAUGAGCUCUUAUAUUUUAAAGUUUGGUUUUGACAGAAAAAAAUUCCUAGAUUUUUUGGUUAAUAAAAACUUUAUUAGAUAGAUUAAAUUGUGAUGUAUGGAGAUAAAGUUCUGAAAGAAGAAUAGAAAGCUUUUUAAAAAUAGUAUUCUCAGCCUAGGCAACAUGGUGAAACCCUGUCUAUGCUGAGGUUGAGGUGGGAGGAUCACUUGAGCCCAUGAGGCAGAGGUUGCAGUGAGCCGAGAUUGUGCCUCUGUACUCCAGCCUGGGUG